RNAcentral lists this long non-coding RNA (1517 nucleotides) under Gallus gallus (chicken). The record is from RNAcentral. Lineage: Eukaryota; Metazoa; Chordata; Aves; Galliformes; Phasianidae.
CAAUGAAAGCAGUUAUCCCCUGAGAGGCUGGAACAGCAUUAAGGUCAGUUUUGGCAUAAACGAUGAGAACAUCUGCAUCUGGCCCAUUGGUGAUCCAAAAUUUGUUCCCAUUCAAAACAUAGUAGUCCCCUUUCUUGUCUGCCUUCAGCUUCAUGGACACAACAUCAGACCCAGCAUUGGGCUCGCUCAUUGCUAAGGCUCCAAUGUGCUCCCCACUAAUGAGCUUGGGCAAGUACUUCUCUUUCUGGGCUUCACUGCCAUUCCGCACCAGCUGGUUGAUACAAAGGUUUGAGUGGGCUCCGUAACUAAGCCCAACAGCUGCUGAUGCACGGGAAACUUCCUCCAUCACCAGCACGUGGUCCAGAUAGCCCAGAGCAGAUCCACCAUAUUCCACAGGAGCUGUGAUCCCCAGAACUCCCAGUUCCCCAAGUUUCUUCCAGAACUCCCGCAUGCCUUUGAAUUCAUUCUCCUGGUCAAUUUGUUGGGCCUUUGGAGCCAAAUGCUCUUGACAGAACUUUGUCAUGGUCUGUCUAAGCUGCCGCUGCUCGUCGCUCAGCCCGUUCACCGUGUCGUCCACCGCCAGCCCCGCGAAGCCUCGCCGCAGCAAGGCUUGGCGCUGCCUGGCUCCGCGCAGCGCCGAGCACAGAGCGGCUCUGCCGAGCACCGCCGCCGCCAUGGUUGCCCCGGGCCGCUCCCGGCGCGCAGGCGCGGCCCUAUCCCGGGGAGAGCCCCGGCCCGCCCAACGCGCCGGGAGGGGCAGGAGGGGGCGGCAGAGGGCAGCGCCAGGGCGGUGGAGCUCCUGCACCGCGCUGCCUGAGGGUAGAACAGCGAAUGCGUGUGUCUUUCUAACGCGUUUAAUCAAAAAUACAUAAUACAAGGAAAUAAAACGCUGGUGGAUUGAAGCAGACGAGCCGUCGGCAAGGUUUGCAGUAAGGAAAUCCGGGCUAAGCCCCAGCAGGCAGUUAAAGAGCUGUGAGCACCUGACUCCUGUGCAGCCAGCCAUCGCUGCUCACCUUGCCCCACUGCCGUCCUGCGGGCGUUACCUGCGCCCAGGGCCAGCCUGCCCAGCUUCCUGUUCUAGACAUAAGAACGAGGUUUGCCAAAUAGUGACUGUGCAGUCCGCCCUCGUGCCUCACUGAGCCAGGAGCUGCUCCAGCUGAUCGAGGGCUGCUGAGCACUCCUUCAUCUCUUCCUGAAAGGAUGAAUGCUUCUCCAGGGAGCGCUGUCUGUCUUCUUCUGCCGAUUCCCACUUGGCCAUCGCUGCCUGAAGUGCCUCCUUUUCCUUUUCAGCUGUUUCAUUAAAGAGCCUCAAUUCUGCUAUGAGCUUCUCAGUUAAAAGCGCUGUCUGCUUCUGGCAUUCCUGUGUUUUCUCCUCUUCCUCCAAAAUGUUGCUGCCUGUAACAGGAUCAAUGUUUCUGCUUUCUAAAAUCACCAUGCAAGUCUCCUGAAAUUUCUUGAGCUUUUCAACUUCUUGCAGCAGGCCUUCAUUCUCCUCCUUUAACUCCUUUAUAGUGCCC